Molecule: non-coding RNA, 433 nt
Organism: Struthio camelus australis
Lineage: Eukaryota; Metazoa; Chordata; Aves; Struthioniformes; Struthionidae
Source: RefSeq, a predicted model, not a curated record
CUUCUUUCUGCUAGAAAUUGCAGUUCCUGGCAACACUGGAUAUUGACUCCUCCCUAUGACAGAGAGCUGCGCACCUACAUGUAGGGACCGCUUUUUGAGCCCAUGAUGUCUGUACAAGCAUAACAAAACUGUCUCUUGAACGGAAUUGCCAAAGCGACAAGAACAGCUUUUUUUGAAGAGGGACACUGGCAUUCAGCAGCAUCCUCCAAAACUGCAAAUGGCAGGCUCCCAGUGGCAGUACUAUUUAGCUACACAACUGUCUUUUUAAAGUAGUGCCAGAUAUCAUGUCCUGUUCUACAGCGUUUGUUUUACUCAACUGAACUUCCAUGACAUUUUGAGAUGUACUUUACAAGACUAGCAGAAUGGAAAACAUAUCCUGGCAAGGUUUCCAGCAGAUCUGGGUUCGUGAUUCAGCAUUUCAUAAAUGGAUAAU